This is a small nucleolar RNA of Malania oleifera, 109 nucleotides long. The record is from RefSeq and is a predicted model, not a curated record. Lineage: Eukaryota; Viridiplantae; Streptophyta; Magnoliopsida; Santalales; Ximeniaceae.
UAGCCAUGGUGAGGACACAAAUUUAACAAUUCUUUAAAUCUCUCCCAAACUUGGUAUAAAGUUUCACUCUCUUUCUGAACAAAGGUUGAGAUUUGUCUCUUCAAAGCAU